Long non-coding RNA from Numida meleagris (helmeted guineafowl), 2567 nucleotides. RefSeq lists it as uncharacterized. The record is from RefSeq and is a predicted model, not a curated record. NCBI's taxonomy places the organism in Eukaryota, Metazoa, Chordata, Aves, Galliformes, Numididae. The transcript has 2 exons.
UUCAAAGAACAGGAGGAUUUAGAUCCACAGCUGCAUUCCUGUCCUCCCGUCCCCUUCCCUCAGUCCCCCUUAUACGUGAGAACCCCAGAGAAGCCCAAAGGAGAGGAGCAGGUAGAUGCCUUCACUGGACUGGGGCUGCAUGGCAAAGCCCAGCUGAUCAGGUUCCUGCUAUUAUUUCUGCAGGAAUCUGUGCCCUAAAGAGCAAUUCCAACGAAAGCCUCUAGGCUGGAUCCUGGCCAGGCUUCAUGUUGCAGCGUUAAAGGGGCAAUUUCAGUUCAGGGUGGAGACCUUUUUGCUUUGUUUUGUUUUUAAAUCUGGAGUAUUUUGCACUGCACAACUGUUUGAACCCACAGUCAUGCUACAAUGAGAAGAGGAUGAAAUAGAGGAAGACAGUGGAGAAGUAACAGAAAUCCAGCAGUAAAGUAGCAGAUGGGUUCCAGCAGAGCCAAACACAUUAGGCCCAAGUUUUGGGCCCGGAGGAGUCCAAACCAGAAGCUGGCUGAGGAGCUCCUCACCAAAAGAGGAGCAGCUGAAUCACCAGGCAAGUUUUGGCAGCACCGGACAAAGAGAGGGAGGGGGCAGGACAUCCUUUAGUAGCAGCCUGGGGGACGGUAACCUCGCUCACCAUCAGCAUUGCACCAACCAAACCACAAGUGAGCACUCCCUCCGCACCCACGCCGCCAAGCGAAAGAAACCUUUCACCCAAGCACCGCCACUGUUCAACAGAUGUGGUUCCCUCUCCAAAGUCAAAAAAAAACUUCAGUCCUCAUAACUUGACAGGAAAAAGACCCCUCACAGGCAAGAUGGGUGUUUGUUUUAGCUUGUGCUUCCACUCAGUCUUGGCUGUUACAGACAGAGCGACAGUGGGGACUGGCAUCUGUAGGGAACUUCUGCCCUGGAAGAAGGGAAAAGGUUGUUUUCAUGGAAUGAAUCCCACAUCCCAGACUGAUCUUGUCAGUAACUUGCUGAAUGGCUCAAGGGAAUCAGAUAGAUCUUAGAACAUUUUUUUUAAAGUGUAAAUGUUUGCCUAUUAUUAAAAAAAGCAGAGUUAAAUAUUUUCAACCACUUGUAAUGGUUUGGUAGCCAUCCAUGAACUUCCCCCUUAUUCCUAGAUUAAAAACUAAAGGCAGACCCAAAAGAUAGCUUUUGCUGCAGUAGGAUACACUGAGCGCUUACUUUCCUGGCCCACAGUAACCUCAGUCCGGGAGGGGGCUGCUGAUAUCCCCUGUAUAAGGAGUCAAGUCUCAUGCAGAGAGAAAAAUAAUGGUGGCUUGGGCCCCCAAAAUUGUUGCGAUAUUUCCUGUUUCAGGGGUAGAAAGUACCUCUAGAGAGGAGACAAGUGGAAAGUAUGUUUCUUACUGAGCAGAGUGCCAUCUUUUUGUAUUAAAAUAGAGUUCUAUCACUCAUCAACUUUCAAUUUGAUCCAAAGCACACUUUGAUUUUCAGUUUCCUCUCGUGUCUUGCAUCAUCAUAUCUCUGGUUGCUCAUACAAUUAGCUCUUGAGUGCUAGUGUGCUCAGGGUGACAUUUUAAUGACAAUCUGAUACGCUGCAUCAUACGGGGUUGGAAGUGCCCCACCAGCCCUGGUGCCUCCAGAGAAAGCAAUGCUGGAAAGGACCUUUCCAAGCCUUGACUUGAGUCCUCUAUGAUUUGCAAUUAAAGACAGUUCAUGAAGGAAGAUUGGGCCUUGGCAACUCUCCAUUCAUUACUGACAAAUUAACAGCUUUAUAAUUCCACCUUUUCUUUUGUUCUUUGUGCACAGACACACACAUGCACACUUUGUGACUUGGGUUUUUUUCAUCUUGACAAAUCCUUCCUCCGGCUUCCCUCAGUUUUCAACAACACAACAGGGAGUCAAUCAGGAAAGCUUUAAGAGGCCGAUAAAACGGGUUUGUUUAAAUGGUUUCCAGUUCAGUCCAGAGUAUUGUGAGGAAAUACACAAAGGCAGUGGGAAAUAAUUAUCUUUCUUCUGAAAGACCUCUUAGCCACUAUUUUAAAGUACAAAUGUGGAUAAAAUGUAGGCAUUUUCAAGCAUGUGUGUGCCAACCUGGGUGCUUCAGAGAUCACAGCUGCUCCCUGAAGGUCACCAGAUAGGGAUGGACUCACUCAGAUGAAACUGAAGUUUCAUCAUGCUUUCAUACCUGUAAUUAAUUUACCAGAAAGCAGUAAGCAUUGUCUUUACAAAUGGAUUUUGAAGACCUGUAUCAGCUGUGGCUUGCAGCAACAUUUUGGGUCUGAAGGCCACCACCUGUGAUCAGCUUGCAGCUGAAACCAUCCCGAUUACACAAACUGGACCAGUGGGGUAGGAGAUAAAGGCCAUCAGAGCAGGAGAACAUCAAGAAGGACUUCUAACCCAGUGCCCCACAGCUCAGGAAUGCUCUCCCAGGCUGACAUGGCUCAGCUGUGUCCCAUUUCAAAGCAAGCCGGGCUGGCACUACUUCAGAGGUCUCCUUCUGCCAUUGUGCAGCACAGACAGGACUCUCCUGCAUGGCCAUCUGAGGGAAGGGGUUGUUUUAUUUAUAAGAUGGGAGGAAAAAAUAAAGUUACUGUAUUGUUUUUCAUUUUGGA